This 256-nucleotide ribosomal RNA is filed under the name uncultured prokaryote. RNAcentral describes it as "partial 16S ribosomal RNA". It matches the Rfam family "Bacterial small subunit ribosomal RNA", at positions 522 to 777 of the family's 1533-position model. The record is from RNAcentral.
AAUACGUAGGGUGCGAGCGUUAAUCGGAAUUACUGGGCGUAAAGUGUGCGCAGGCGGCCGCGCAAGUCGAGUGUGAAAUCCCCGGGCUUAACUUGGGAAUUGCGCUCGAAACUACGUGGCUGGAGUGUGGCAGAGGAAGGUGGAAUUCCACGUGUAGCGGUGAAAUGCGUAGAGAUGUGGAGGAACACCGAUGGCGAAGGCAGCCUUCUGGGCCAACACUGACGCUCAUGCACGAAAGCGUGGGGAGCAAACAGGA